Molecule: long non-coding RNA, 428 nt
Organism: Anoplopoma fimbria (sablefish)
Lineage: Eukaryota; Metazoa; Chordata; Actinopteri; Perciformes; Anoplopomatidae
Exons: 3
Source: RefSeq, a predicted model, not a curated record
CGUUGUCGAGGUGGCGGCAUGCAAACUUUCUCUUGAAGGAAAUUAUUGUUGCGAGAGCCAGAUAUAUCCCAACGUUGAAUAAUUAUCGGAGGCGCAGAGAACGAAGUUUUUUGUUGUUGCUUUGGUUGAUUAGUGGAGCUUGUUUGUGACGGAAACGAAGGAGAACCUGAACCUGGACUGAUGAGAGCAGUGUAUUCUGCCUUGUACCCGGAGUGUGUGUGUAUAUGUGAUGUUUGAGCCUCUGGCCGGGUCUUUUUGCUUGUAUGGAUUCCUGGUGAGAUCUGCAUGAAGAUUCUUCUCCCGCUGGGAUUUCUCCCAUCUCUGUAGAGGUAGUGGGGAACCUCAGUGGUAGUGGCGAGCUACCCAAACGAAGGACUGUUAUUUUGUUACCAAUAUUCUGAUUUUCCCAGUGGCUGGAUAUAUUGAGA